This 445-nucleotide ribosomal RNA is filed under the name uncultured bacterium. RNAcentral describes it as "bacterial SSU rRNA". It matches the Rfam family "Bacterial small subunit ribosomal RNA", at positions 354 to 796 of the family's 1533-position model. The record is from RNAcentral.
GUGAGGAAUAUUGGUCAAUGGGCGGAAGCCUGAACCAGCCAUCCCGCGUGAAGGAAGAAUGCGCUAUGCGUUGUAAACUUCUUUUCCAGGGGAAGAAAACCUCUGAUGUAUCGGAGCUUGCCGGUACCCUGGGAAUAAGCAUCGGCUAACUCCGUGCCAGCAGCCGCGGUAAUACGGAGGAUGCGAGCGUUAUCCGGAUUUAUUGGGUUUAAAGGGUGCGUAGGCGGAUAAAUAAGUCAGUGGUGAAACCCUGCAGCUUAACUGUAGACUUGCCGUUGAUACUGUUUAUCUUGAGUUUGGUCAAGGCAGGCGGAAUGUGUAAUGUAGCGGUGAAAUGCUUAGAUAUUACACAGAACACCGAUUGCGAAGGCAGCUUGCUGGGCCGGUACUGACGCUGAUGCACGAAAGCGUGGGGAUCGAACAGGAUUAGAAACCCCGGUAGUCC